Molecule: ribosomal RNA, 494 nt
Filed under: uncultured bacterium
Lineage: Bacteria
Description: bacterial SSU rRNA
Rfam family: Bacterial small subunit ribosomal RNA
Source: RNAcentral
UAGUCCACGCUGUAAACGAUGAGGACUAGUUAUUUUACUUUCGGGUAGAGUGACGCAGCUAACGCAUUAAGUUCUCCGCCUGGGGAGUACGGUCGCAAGACUAAAACUCAAUGGAAUUGACGGGGGCCUGCACAAGCGGUGGAGCAUGUGGUUUAAUUCGACGCAACGCGCAGAACCUUACCAGCUUUUGACAUCCUGGUCGCGGAUUUGGGAGACCAUUUCCUUCAGUUCGGCUGGACCAGUGACAGGUGCUGCAUGGCUGUCGUCAGCUCGUGUCGUGAGAUGUUGGGUUAAGUCCCGCAACGAGCGCAACCCUCAUCCUUAGUUGCCAGCAUUUAGUUGGGCACUCUAAGGAAACUGCCGGUGAUAAGCCGGAGGAAGGUGGGGAUGACGUCAAGUCCUCAUGGCCCUUACAAGCUGGGCUACACACGCGCUACAAUGGCGAUGACAGUGAGCAGCUAACCCGCGAGGGCAAGCUAAUCUCUAAAAGUCGU